GAUGAACGCUGGCGGCGUGCCUAAUACAUGCAAGUCGAGCGAACAGACGAGGAGCUUGCUCCUCUGACGUUAGCGGCGGACGGGUGAGUAACACGUGGAUAACCUACCUAUAAGACUGGGAUAACUUCGGGAAACCGGAGCCAAUACCGGAUAAUAUAUUGAACCGCAUGGUUCAAUAGUGAAUGACGGUUUUGCUGUCACUUUUAGAUGGAUCCGCGCCGCAUUAGCUAGUUGGUAAGGUAACGGCUUACCAAGGCAACGAUGCGUAGCCGACCUGAGAGGAUGAUCAGCCACACUGGAACUGAGACACGGUCCAGACUCCUACGGGAGGCAGCAGUAGGGAAUCUUCCGCAAUGGGCGAAAGCUUGACGGAGCAACGCCGCGUGAGUGAUGAAGGUCUUCGGGUCGUAAAACUCUGUUAUUAGGGAAGAACAAAUGUGUAAGUAACUAUGCACGUCUUGACGGUACCUAAUCAGAAAGCCACGGCUAACUACGUG
Molecule: ribosomal RNA, 497 nt
Filed under: uncultured bacterium
Lineage: Bacteria
Description: partial 16S ribosomal RNA
Rfam family: Bacterial small subunit ribosomal RNA
Source: RNAcentral